RNAcentral lists this ribosomal RNA (1421 nucleotides) under uncultured organism. RNAcentral's name for it is "SSU rRNA". It matches the Rfam family "Bacterial small subunit ribosomal RNA". The record is from RNAcentral.
GCGUGCUUAACACAUGCAAGUCGAGCGAUGAAGUUUCCUUCGGGAAAUGGAUUAGCGGCGGACGGGUGAGUAACACGUGGGUAACCUGCCUCAUAGAGUGGAAUAGCCUUCCGAAAGGAAGAUUAAUACCGCAUAAUGUUGAAAGAUGGCAUCAUCAUUCAACCAAAGGAGCAAUCCGCUAUGAGAUGGACCCGCGGCGCAUUAGCUAGUUGGUGGGGUAACGGCCUACCAAGGCGACGAUGCGUAGCCGACCUGAGAGGGUGAUCGGCCACAUUGGGACUGAGACACGGCCCAGACUCCUACGGGAGGCAGCAGUGGGGAAUAUUGCACAAUGGGGGAAACCCUGAUGCAGCAACGCCGCGUGAGUGAUGAAGGUUUUCGGAUCGUAAAGCUCUGUCUUUGGGGAAGAUAAUGACGGUACCCAAGGAGGAAGCCACGGCUAACUACGUGCCAGCAGCCGCGGUAAUACGUAGGUGGCGAGCGUUAUCCGGAUUUACUGGGCGUAAAGGGAGCGUAGGCGGAUGAUUAAGUGGGAUGUGAAAUACCCGGGCUCAACUUGGGUGCUGCAUUCCAAACUGGUUAUCUAGAGUGCAGGAGAGGAGAGUGGAAUUCCUAGUGUAGCGGUGAAAUGCGUAGAGAUUAGGAAGAACACCAGUGGCGAAGGCGACUCUCUGGACUGUAACUGACGCUGAGGCUCGAAAGCGUGGGGAGCAAACAGGAUUAGAUACCGUGGUAGUCCACGCCGUAAACGAUGAAUACUAGGUGUGGGGGCUUCAACACCUCCGUGCCGCCGCUAACGCAUUAAGUAUUCCGCCUGGGGAGUACGGUCGCAAGAUUAAAACUCAAAGGAAUUGACGGGGACCCGCACAAGUAGCGGAGCAUGUGGUUUAAUUCGAAGCAACGCGAAGAACCUUACCUACACUUGACAUCCCUUGCAUUACUCUUAAUCGAGGAAAUCCCUUCGGGGACAAGGUGACAGGUGGUGCAUGGUUGUCGUCAGCUCGUGUCGUGAGAUGUUGGGUUAAGUCCCGCAACGAGCGCAACCCUUGUCGUUAGUUACUACCAUUAAGUUGAGGACUCUAGCGAGACUGCCUGGGUUAACCAGGAGGAAGGUGGGGAUGACGUCAAAUCAUCAUGCCCCUUAUGUGUAGGGCUACACACGUGCUACAAUGGCUGGUACAGAGAGAUGCAAUACCGCGAGGUGGAGCCAAACUUAAAAACCAGUCUCAGUUCGGAUUGUAGGCUGAAACUCGCCUACAUGAAGCUGGAGUUACUAGUAAUCGCGAAUCAGAAUGUCGCGGUGAAUACGUUCCCGGGUCUUGUACACACCGCCCGUCACACCAUGAGAGUUGGCAAUACCCGAAGUCCGUGAGCUAACCGCAAGGAGGCAGCGGCCGAAGGUAGGGUCAGCGAUUGGGGCG